Molecule: unclassified non-coding RNA, 222 nt
Filed under: plant metagenome
Description: partial contains small subunit ribosomal RNA, internal transcribed spacer 1, and 5.8S ribosomal RNA
Source: RNAcentral
UCUCCGUUGGUAAACCAGCGGAGGGAUCAUUACCGAGUUAUCAACUCCCAAACCCCUGUGAACAUACCCAACGUUGCUUCGGCGGGACCGCCCGGCGCCCUCGGCGUCCCGGAACCAGGCGCCCGCCGGAGGACCCAAACUCUUGUUUAAACCAUAGUGGCAUAUUCUGAGUCUCACAAGAAAAAUGAAUCAAAACUUUCAACAACGGAUCUCUUGGCUCUG